GACGAACGCUGGCGGCGUGCCUAAUACAUGCAAGUCGAGCGAGUCUGCCUUGAAGAUCGGAGUGCUUGCACUCUGUGAAACAAGAUACAGGCUAGCGGCGGACGGGUGAGUAACACGUGGGUAACCUGCCCAAGAGAUCGGGAUAACACCUGGAAACAGAUGCUAAUACCGGAUAACAACAGAUGAUGCCUAUCAACUGUUUAAAAGAUGGUUCUGCUAUCACUCUUGGAUGGACCUGCGGUGCAUUAGCUAGUUGGUAGGGUAACGGCCUACCAAGGCGAUGAUGCAUAGCCGACUUGAGAGACUGAUCGGCCACAUUGGGACUGAGACACGGCCCACACUCCUACGGGAGGACGCAGUAGGGAAUCUUCCACAAUGGACGCAAGUCUGAUGGAGCAACGCCGCGUGAGUGAAGAAGGGUUUCGGCUCGUAAAGCUAUGUUGUUGGUGAAGAAGGACAGGGGUAGUAACUGACCUUUGUUUGACGGUAAUCAAUUAGAAAGUCACGGCUAACUACGUG
This 519-nucleotide ribosomal RNA is filed under the name uncultured bacterium. Its description in RNAcentral is "partial 16S ribosomal RNA". It matches the Rfam family "Bacterial small subunit ribosomal RNA", at positions 28 to 507 of the family's 1533-position model. The record is from RNAcentral.